Molecule: ribosomal RNA, 503 nt
Filed under: uncultured bacterium
Lineage: Bacteria
Description: partial 16S ribosomal RNA
Rfam family: Bacterial small subunit ribosomal RNA
Source: RNAcentral
UGGGGAAUUUUGGACAAUGGGCGAAAGCCUGAUCCAGCAAUGCCGCGUGUGUGAAGAAGGCCUUCGGGUUGUAAAGCACUUUUGUCCGGGAAAGAAAUCCUUGGCUCUAAUACAGUCGGGGGAUGACGGUACCGGAAGAAUAAGCACCGGCUAACUACGUGCCAGCGGCCGCGGUAAUACGUAGGGUGCAAGCGUUAAUCGGAAUUACUGGGCGUAAAGCGUGCGCAGGCGGUUUGCUAAGACCGAUGUGAAAUCCCCGGGCUCAACUGGGAACUGCAUUGGUGACUGGGCAGGCUAGAGUAUGGCAGAGGGGGGUAGAAUUCCACGUGUAGCAGUGAAAAUGCGUAGAGAUGUGGAGGAAUACCGAUGGCGAAGGCAGCCCCCUGGGCCAAAUACUGACGCUCAUGCACGAAAGCGUGGGGGAGCAAAACAGGAUUAGAUAACCCUGGUAGUCCACGCCCUAAAACGAUGUCAACUAGUUGUUGGGGAUUCAUUUCCUUAGU